CACGUAGGGGGCAAGCGUUGUCCGGAUUUAUUGGGCGUAAAGGGCGCGUAGGCUGCGGGGCAAGUCGGGUGUGAAAUCUCAGAGCUCAACUCUGAAACUGCACUCGAUACUGCUUUGCUUGAGGACUGGAGAGGAGAUUGGAAUUCACGGUGUAGCAGUGAAAUGCGUAGAUAUCGUGAGGAAGACCAGUGGCGAAGGCGGAUCUCUGGACAGCUCCUGACGCUGAGGCGCGAAGGCUAGGGGAGCAAACGGG
This 253-nucleotide ribosomal RNA is filed under the name uncultured bacterium. Its description in RNAcentral is "partial 16S ribosomal RNA". It matches the Rfam family "Bacterial small subunit ribosomal RNA", at positions 524 to 776 of the family's 1533-position model. The record is from RNAcentral.